This 241-nucleotide ribosomal RNA is filed under the name uncultured bacterium. RNAcentral's name for it is "partial 16S ribosomal RNA". It matches the Rfam family "Bacterial small subunit ribosomal RNA", at positions 15 to 238 of the family's 1533-position model. The record is from RNAcentral.
GAUCCUGGCUCAGGACGAACGCUGGCGGCGUGCCUAAUACAUGCAAGUAGAACGCACAGUUUAUACCGUAGCUUGCUACACCAUAGACUGUGAGUUGCGAACGGGUGAGUAACGCGUAGGUAACCUGCCUGGUAGCGGGGGAUAACUAUUGGAAACGAUAGCUAAUACCGCAUAAUAUUAAUUAUUGCGUGAUAAUUAAUUGAAAGGUGCAAUUGCACCACUACCAGAUGGACCUGCGUUG